Molecule: ribosomal RNA, 253 nt
Filed under: uncultured bacterium
Lineage: Bacteria
Description: partial 16S ribosomal RNA
Rfam family: Bacterial small subunit ribosomal RNA
Source: RNAcentral
UACGAAGGGGGCGAGCGUUGUUCGGAUUUACUGGGCGUAAAGGGCGCGUAGGCGGCGCAAGAAGUCAGGCGUGAAAGCCCCGGGCUCAACCUGGGAAUUGCGCUUGGGACUCUUGGGCUCGAGUUCGGGAGAGGAGCGUGGAAUUCCCAGUGUAGAGGUGAAAUUCGUAGAUAUUGGGAAGAACACCGGUGGCGAAGGCGGCGCUCUGGACCGAGACUGACGCUGAGGCGCGAAGGCGUGGGGAGCAAACAGG